UCUGGUUUUUUAGGGCACACGGUGGAUGCCUUGGCAUGCUGAGCCGAUGAAGGACGUGGGAGGCUGCGUUAAGCCUCGGGGAGUUGUCAACCGAGCGUUGAUCCGAGGAUGUCCGAAUGGGGAAACCCGGCCAUGGUUAUGUGUGGUCACCUGCAACUGAAGACUUGUGUAUAGGUUGUGUGGAGGUAACGCGGGGAAGUGAAACAUCUCAGUACCCGUAGGAGAAGAAAACAAGAGUGAUUCCGCUAGUAGUGGCGAGCGAACGUGGAUUUUUGGCUAAACCGUGAUUGUGUGUGAUACCCGGCAGGGGUUGCAUGAUCCGGGGUUGUGGGGUUUAUAACGUCUGUUAUCUGCCGGUGACGGGUCUGUUGUUGGUGCUGUUAGUGGAAGUGGUGUGGAAACGCCUGCCGUAGAGGGUGAGAGUCCCGUACAUGAAAGCAGUUGCCUGAUGGAUGGUUAUUUGUCCCCGAGUAGCAGCGGGCUCGUGGAAUCUGCUGUGAAUCUGCCGGGACCACCCGGUAAGCCUGAAUACUCAGUGUGACCGAUAGCGGAUUGAGUACCGUGAGGGAAUGGUGAAAAGUACCCCGGGAGGGGAGUGAAAGAGUACCUGAAACCGUGUGUCUACAAUCCGUCAGAGCCCUUUUUUGGGGUGAUGGCGUGCCUUUUGAAGAAUGAGCCUGCGAGUCAGCGGCAUGUCGCGAGGUUAACCCGGUUUGUGGGGUAGUCGUAGCGAAAGCGAAUACUAACGAGUGUGUUGUAGUGGCAUGUCCUGGACCCGAAGCGGAGUGAUCUACCCAUGGCCAGUGUGAAGCAGCGGUAAGACGCUGUGGAGGCGCGAACCCACUUAGGUUGAAAACUGAGGGGAUGAGUUGUGGGUAGGGGUGAAAGGCCAAUCAAACUUCGUGAUAGCUGGUUCUCCCCGAAAUGCAUUUAGGUGCAGCGCUACGCGUGUUUGCCGGAGGUAGAGCUACUGGUUGGUUUAGCGGGACUAUCAUCUUAGCGACAUCAGCUAAACUCCGAAUGCCGGUGAAACGGUUCGUGUAGUAGUGAGACUGCGGGGGAUAAGCUUCGUAGUCGAGAGGGAAACAGCCCAGAUCGCCGGUUAAGGCCCCUAAGGGUGUGCUAAGUGGAAAAGGAUGUGGGAUCGCCCAGACAGCCAGGAGGUUGGCUUAGAAGCAGCCAUCCUUGAAAGAGUGCGUAAUAGCUCACUGGUCGAGUGGUUCCGCGCCGACAAUGUAGUGGGGCUCAAGCACACCGCCGAAACCGCGGCAGCAGCAUCUUGUUUAGGGUGUUGUUGGGUAGGGGAGCGUCGUAUGCUGCGUUGAAGCUGCCGGGUGACCGUGUGGUGGAGUGUAUACGAGUGAGAAUGCAGGCAUGAGUAGCGAAUGACGGGUGGAAAACCCGUCCGCCGGAUGAUCAAGGGUUCCUGGGUGAAGCUAAUCUUCCCAGGGUGAGUCGGGACCUAAGGCGAGGCCGACAGGCGUAGUCGAUGGAUAACGGGUUGAUAUUCCCGUACCCGUGUGUAUGCGAAAAGUGGUGACGCGAUGAUACUAACUGCCCGUCGCAUCCUUCACGUCAGUCUUUUUAGGCUGGUGGUUGUGGUGUGUUCGCGUAGGACCUGAGUUGUUGGUAGCCAAGUGAUGGGGUGACGCAGAGUGGUAGCCGAGCCAACGGUUGGAAGUGUUGGUGUAAGCGUGCAGCCCGUGGGAUAGGGAAAUCCGUUCCGCAUUGUAUGGGUGAGGCGUGAUGCAGACCCACAUGUUGUGGGGGAGUCGGUGUGCCUGUGCUGUCGAGAAAAGCCUCUAGCGAGUGUAUGCAUGGCCCGUACCCCAAACCGACACAGGUGAUCAGGUAGAAGAUACUAAGGCGAUCGAGAGAACUGUGGUUAAGGAACUCGGCAAAAUGCCCCCGUAACUUCGGGAGAAGGGGGGCCGCUACGGGUGCCACUGCCUUGCGUGGUGGUUGCGUGUGGUGGCCGCAGAGAAUAGAGGGAAGCGACUGUUUACUAAAAACACAGGUCCGUGCGAAGACGAUAAGUCGAUGUAUACGGACUGACGCCUGCCCGGUGCUGGAAGGUUAAGAGGACCUGUUAGAUCUGUUUGGGUCGAAGCGGAGAAUUUAAGCCCCAGUAAACGGCGGUGGUAACUAUAACCAUCCUAAGGUAGCGAAAUUCCUUGUCGGGUAAGUUCCGACCUGCACGAAUGGCGUAACGACUUCCCUGCUGUCUCAACCACAGACUCGGCGAAAUUGCAGUACGAGUAAAGAUGCUCGUUACGCGCGGCAGGACGAAAAGACCCCGGGACCUUUACUAUAGCUUGGUAUUGGUGCUUGCUACGGUUUGUGUAGGAUAGGUGGGAGAUGUUGAUCGCAUGACGCUAGUUGUGUGGGAGUCGUAAUGUGAAAUACCACUCUGAUCGUAGUGGGUAUCUAACUUCGGCCCGUGAUCCGGGUCAGGGACAGUGCCUGGUGGGUAGUUUAACUGGGGCGGUUGCCUCCUAAAGAGUAACGGAGGCGCCCAAAGGUUUCCUCAGCCUGGUCUGUAAUCAGGUGGUGAGUGUAAGUGCACAAGGGAGCUUGACUGUGAGACUGACAGGUCGAGCAGGUACGAAAGUAGGGACUAGUGAUCCGGCACCGGCUUGUGGAAGCGGUGUCGCUCAACGGAUAAAAGGUACCCCGGGGAUAACAGGCUGAUCUUCCCCAAGAGUCCAUAUCGACGGGAUGGUUUGGCACCUCGAUGGCGGCUCGUCGCAUCCUGGGGCUGGAGUAGGUCCCAAGGGUUGGGCUGUUCGCCCAUUAAAGCGGCACGCGAGCUGGGUUUAGAACGUCGUGAGACAGUUCGGUCUCUAUCCGCCGCGCGCGUUGAAACGUGAGGAAGGCUGUCCCUAGUACGAGAGGACCGGGACGGACGUACCUCUGGUGUGCCAGUUGUUUCGCCAGGAGCAUUGCUGGUUGGCUACGUACGGGAGGGAUAACCGCUGAAAGCAUCUAAGCGGGAAGCCUGUUUCGAGAUAACGUUUCGUUUGAGGUGUCCGGGAGAUGACCGGGUUGAUAGGCCAGGGUUGUAAGCGCUGUGAGGUGUUGAGAUGACUGGUACUAAUUCACCGAUACCAAACACAA
Molecule: ribosomal RNA, 3117 nt
Filed under: Corynebacterium choanae
Lineage: Bacteria; Bacillati; Actinomycetota; Actinomycetes; Mycobacteriales; Corynebacteriaceae
Description: Corynebacterium choanis 23S ribosomal RNA
Rfam family: Bacterial large subunit ribosomal RNA
Source: RNAcentral